Zonotrichia albicollis (white-throated sparrow) is the source of this 2065-nucleotide non-coding RNA. Lineage: Eukaryota; Metazoa; Chordata; Aves; Passeriformes; Passerellidae. The record is from RefSeq and is a predicted model, not a curated record.
UUUAAUGACAACCCUUUACCAACCACAGAUUUCUGAAUCAUUCUGUUCAUUCUGUCUUAAUCCAUCUUCUAGCCUCACAUCACCCCAGCUAAAAAAGCCUGUCUUGAAUAUGAACAACACAUAUGAGCAGCCCACACAUCUUGCCUAGCACCAUGAUUUGCACAUGGGGGUAAGGAGCUGAAAGAAACAUGAGGAGCUGAAAGAAACAUGAGUGGAUAAGGCAGCAGCACCAUCCCUGCACUGUGCACACAAACUUCACAAACACUCCCAUUGGAAAAGAAAUCCCUGAGGUGCCAUCAUGUGGGAUGCCCAGAGUUCAGGCUCUAUGAGAAAGCAGUGGGAAAACCUCUUGUCUUCCAGGAGAUGAUAUGUGGUAUUCACAUGCCCUCUGAACAGAGAGAGAUGGAGCUUUCCCAGCAUUCUCCUGAGAAAGGCUGUGAGAGAUGCAGAGAAAAGAAUGAUCAAAACAAUUCUUGUCUCAUUUACUGCUCCUGUGUUUGUGCCCAUGUGGAAUGUGUUCUGGAGAUUCUUUACCCGAGGUGAUUGCUUGAUUGGGUUCUGGUGAUGGUGUUUUGGAUUCAUUGGCCAACUGGAUCCACACGUGUGUGUGUCAGGACUCUUGAGCAGAGAGUCACGGGUUUUCUUGUUAGUUAGUUAGUGAUAGCUCUUGUUAGUGUAAUAGAGUAUAAUAUAAUAUAACAAAGUAGAUAAUUAGCCCUCUGAUAUCAUGGAGUUCUGCACAUCAUUUUUCCACCCAUCAGGCAUCAUAACUCUGAUACUGAUAGAGUGUCACUGUCCCAGAGCCAUUGACAUCCUAAACUCUGGCAUUACAGCAACCUGCUUAGAAGUUUCCACAGCUACAGAAUUUCAGUCCUAGCCCAGAUCUUGGGACUACUCUAUACCACUUUUAAAAGCAAACCCAUCAAUUAUCUGGAUAUUGAAGGAGUGAAGGAUAAACUUGAACAAGUUACAUGAACAUUUUAAUUAAAGCACAUCUUGACAGAAGAUCAAGAAGAGAAUAACCUCCAGUAUGGAGCCAAAAUAGUCUUGAAAGUACCUGGAAGAUUAGAAUAUGAGUAAAUACAGAGUGUGACUCUUUCUUGCCACAGAGAAAAUCCCUGUGACCUCCACUCGCUGGGAGUCAAGGCACAAGUGAAAGUGCCUAAAGGGAAAAGAAAAAGAUCUUACCCAGGGAGGUAACAAAACUUUCUCAGCCAUGAGCAUGCCUUAUUGAAUGAGAAAGUUACUUUAACCCAGCACUCCAUACAUCCUGUGUGUAUGUAAAUAGGGGUGAAAUAUUCAUUUCACAUCUGUACUGGCUCCCUGCCACAGGAUGUGAUGAAGCACAUGGUGGAUUUUGCCUUCCCAAUAAUGACUCUGCCUUCCCAAUAAUGACUCACGUGCCACCUACAGUAAAUUAAGCAGAGAGGGGUGGCACAGUAACUACAAAUACAGAACAAAUGAGUGGUUUUUUAUCAUUGCUGUCUUCUUGUAACCAUCCUCUUCUGUUUUUCUUCAAGAAAAUAAACUAAACCAAAGUAGCAGUUUUCCCUGAACAAGGAAUGCUAUAAAUGUUACAAACAAGGAGUGUUAUAAACAAGUGUUAUAAAGGAGGAGUGUUAUAAAGAGUUGAGAACUCCUAUUUUAUCUGCAAAACAGACAUGCUGACAUCUAUAGCAUUACAAAGCAAAUGGAUUAUUUCUAGACUGCAGGUUGUGCAGAGGUGGGACCUGUGUCUGUAACACUGUUCUUAGCACAGUAGUGUUGCUACUAAAAUAUUAAUAACAAAUUAUAUACAUAGCGUGAAGGGUGGGAUCUUUUGCUUAAACUCAAAAAACCCCACUGAACAAGUGUAUGACACCCUCAGACACAUUCACUCCAAAUUGUUCUAACUCAGUAUUGACAUUUUUCUCCAUUAUCCAUCACAUCCAUGAGAUUUUAAUAUAAUUAUUUCAGAACAUUUCUCAGUUCUUGUCUGCUCUUGGAAAUAUACCAAAAUAGCUACAAUUAUUCUGAGAUGGUUUAUUUCAAUAUAAAUCCCAACGCGGACACUCUUAUUCCAAAA